RNAcentral lists this long non-coding RNA (747 nucleotides) under Mus pahari (shrew mouse). RNAcentral describes it as "lncRNA (MGP_PahariEiJ_G0004576.1)". The record is from RNAcentral. Lineage: Eukaryota; Metazoa; Chordata; Mammalia; Rodentia; Muridae.
GUUAGCCUGGCCCUUGAGCCUGACUGAUAGAAACUCCGCCAACCCUGGCUUGUUCCUAUGUUCAGGGUCUGGGCAAGCAGGUGUUUUCACGCUCAGGGGCUAGCUCCAUUUGUCUGGCCACUUUUCUGACUACAGUGUUGGGUACUGCACCUUUACAACAAGGCUGUGAGGGCUGAGCACUCAGAGGCAGAGGCAGGAGGAACCCUGAGUUCAAGGCUACCCAGGGCUACAAAACCCAGACCGUGGCUCCUAACAGCACAGAACAGAGAGUAGUGGACUAACUGCCAUGUGCAUAUGUUCUGUAGCCUUUACAGUGGCCUUGAAAGUUGCUAAUCCCCAUUACUGAUGAAGAGAUUGAAGGUCAUGGGACAGAGACUUCAGCUUGGAAGGGCACCUGCUGCCCCAGCCCUCACCUGGGUCCUCAGCAUCCCAGACAGCAGUGCCCUGUGUGGCUCCUGGUGUGAUGUGCACUAGGCCCAGUUGCCGGAAGGACAUGGAGAGAAUGAGCGCAGCCUUGUCUGGGUGUUGGAAAACAGAUGCUAACCUGUAAGCAAUUAAAAAGGAUGUUUUCAGCUAGUGAGGAAGACUUAGACAGCUUUUAAAAAGUAAAAAGCAGGAACAGGACACCAGAGAAGUACCGGCCGCUUCCAGGACUGGGAGUUGAUUCCUGUUAAUGCCAAGAAACUAGGAUCCUCCAUUUCCUUGUUCUCCUUACCACAUUAAUAAAGAAAAAGAAUCACAUGUUUC